AAACCAACAGGGAUUGCCUCAGUAACGGCGAGUGAAGCGGCAAAAGCUCAAAUUUGAAAUCUAGCACCUUCGGUGUUUGAGUUGUAAUUUGAAGAUGGUAACCUUGGGUUUGGCUCUGUCUAUGUUCCUUGGAACAGGACGUCAUAGAGGGUGAGAAUCCCGUCUGAUGAGAUGCCCAUUCCUAUGUAAGGUGCUAUCGAAGAGUCGAGUUGUUUGGGAAUGCAGCUCUAAGUGGGUGGUAAAUUCCAUCUAAAGCUAAAUAUUGGCGAGAGACCGAUAGCGAACAAGUACAGUGAUGGAAAGAUGAAAAGAACUUUGAAAAGAGAGUGAAAAAGUACGUGAAAUUGUUGAAAGGGAAGGGCAUUAGAUCAGACUUGGUGUUUUACGAUUAUCUUCUCUUCUUGAGUUGUGCACUCGUAUUUCACUGGGCCAGCAUCGAUUCGGAUGGCAAGAUAAUGGCAGUUGAAUGUGGCUUCACUUCGGUGGAGUGUUAUAGCUUCUGCUGAUAUUGCCUGUCUGGAUCGAGGGCUGCGUCUUUUGACUAGGAUGCUGGCGUAAUGAUCUAAUGCCG
This 571-nucleotide ribosomal RNA is filed under the name Hansenula anomala. RNAcentral describes it as "eukaryotic LSU rRNA". It matches the Rfam family "Eukaryotic large subunit ribosomal RNA", at positions 62 to 647 of the family's 3401-position model. The record is from RNAcentral. Lineage: Eukaryota; Fungi; Ascomycota; Saccharomycetes; Phaffomycetales; Wickerhamomycetaceae.